RNAcentral lists this ribosomal RNA (886 nucleotides) under uncultured bacterium. RNAcentral's name for it is "bacterial SSU rRNA". It matches the Rfam family "Bacterial small subunit ribosomal RNA", at positions 8 to 853 of the family's 1533-position model. The record is from RNAcentral.
AGAGUUUGAUCCUGGCUCAGGACGAACGCUGGCGGCGUGCCUAAUACAUGCAAGUCGAGCGAGCUUGCCUAGAUGAUUUUAGUGCUUGCACUAAAUGAAACUAGAUACAAGCGAGCGGCGGACGGGUGAGUAACACGUGGGUAACCUGCCCAAGAGACUGGGAUAACACCUGGAAACAGAUGCUAAUACCGGAUAACAACACUAGACGCAUGUCUAGAGUUUGAAAGAUGGUUCUGCUAUCACUCUUGGAUGGACCCGCGGUGCAUUAGCUAGUUGGUAAGGUAACGGCUUACCAAGGCAAUGAUGCAUAGCCGAGUUGAGAGACUGAUCGGCCACAUUGGGACUGAGACACGGCCCAAACUCCUACGGGAGGCAGCAGUAGGGAAUCUUCCACAAUGGACGAAAGUCUGAUGGAGCAACGCCGCGUGAGUGAAGAAGGGUUUCGGCUCGUAAAGCUCCGUUGGUAGUGAAGAAAGAUAGAGGUAGUAACUGGCCUUUAUUUGACGGUAAUUACUUAGAAAGUCACGGCUAACUACGUGCCAGCAGCCGCGGUAAUACGUAGGUGGCAAGCGUUGUCCGGAUUUAUUGGGCGUAAAGCGAGUGCAGGCGGUUCAAUAAGUCUGAUGUGAAAGCCUUCGGCUCAACCGGAGAAUUGCAUCAGAAACUGUUGAACUUGAGUGCAGAAGAGGAGAGUGGAACUCCAUGUGUAGCGGUGGAAUGCGUAGAUAUAUGGAAGAACACCAGUGGCGAAGGCGGCUCUCUGGUCUGCAACUGACGCUGAGGCUCGAAAGCAUGGGUAGCGAACAGGAUUAGAUACCCUGGUAGUCCAUGCCGUAAACGAUGAGUGCUAAGUGUUGGGAGGUUUCCGCCUCUCAGUGCUGCAGCU